Molecule: long non-coding RNA, 339 nt
Filed under: Lactuca sativa (garden lettuce)
Lineage: Eukaryota; Viridiplantae; Streptophyta; Magnoliopsida; Asterales; Asteraceae
Description: long non-coding RNA (LSAT_LNC008057)
Source: RNAcentral
GCAAAAGUGGCUAAAGAAGUGAUUGAAGCGAUCGAUGAGGAGAAAAAGUCAGUGUGCUUCAAGGUGAUUGGGGGUGAUAUACUGGAGGCUUACAAGACAUUCUUGAUCACAGUUCAUGUGGACACCAAUGGAGAAGAGAACAUUGUGACUUGGACUUUCCAUUACGAGAAGGUCAAUGAGAAUAUUGAUGACCCCCACACUUUGAUGGAUUUCUGCCUCACCGUCACCAAGGAUAUUGAGAACCAUCACCUCCCAAAAGCAAACUGAAUCUAAAAUGCGUGUUUGUUUGUGUUAAUUACAUAUGUGGAGUGGAAUUAUGUUUGUAUGAUUUUUUUUUUG